Molecule: non-coding RNA, 1149 nt
Organism: Triticum urartu
Lineage: Eukaryota; Viridiplantae; Streptophyta; Magnoliopsida; Poales; Poaceae
Source: RefSeq, a predicted model, not a curated record
CGUAAAAAAAGUCGAAGGCAGCAACUCAAAAAUAGAUGAAUGUUGGAAGGAAGAUGUAUAAGGCUGAGAGGAAAUAUCAUCUUGAGUUCAACAUUUGGUGUUUCUUCAGGUCACUUUAGCGUGCAUUUUCAGUACAUCUUCCAGUUCAGUGUGUAUUUUAAGAAGAAAAACCAAUAUUGGCGGCUGCACUGGAGCCGCGUGACUACUAUUGCUGAUAGGUUUGUGAACUAAUAAACAUUCUUUUUAUGUUCCUGUGAUGUUUCAUAUUUUUGUGAACUGGUAGUUGAUGCUCUUUGUGGACUGAUAGCUGAUACUUUUUGUUAACCGAUAAACUGAAUAAAUGAGAUGGAUGUAUUAUCAGGCCGCGAAAAUGAUGUAAAAAAUAUGUGCAGUUCAGCGGAUGAGUAUUAUGCAUGUCCUUCUAAUCUAAAGGUAGUGGCACCACUAAGAAAAACAAAAUAAUCAGUUUUUUGUAGCCACGGAGGGCAUUUGGCUCACUAAUCUUCCAUUGCUAGAGGUACUGCCUCUUGAGUUAAUUUAUGAAACUGAAAUCAUCCUUUUUAUGUUUUCGUGUUGUCAAAUAAAACCAAUUUUUUUGGACAUGCGGCGCUCAAGCCGUUCACCCUUACCACCACAAGCCGUUCACCUCCGCCACACGAGGCCGUGCGACGACGCAACUAUCAGAACGUUCACCUCUGCCAUAGGAGGCCGAUGCAACGCUAAGAAUGUUUUGUUCUUUUUCAGUACAUGUUUUGUGUGCUUUUUAGUACACCUACUUAACGAUUCUAUGUCCAAUUUCCCCUGUUUAAGUGUUCUUCCUAUAGCACAAUAGGAGUUGUGUGUUAUGCCUUAAUAAGCAUUUGAGAAAACCUUGUAUGGAUCGAAACUAGCAUAUGUUAUGUUCUAUUCUUGUAAAUGAAGCUCCACUUUUGUUUCGUUUGAGGUUACUUAACAUAAAAGUUAGUAUAUGUUCUAUUGUAAAAACAUAUCUAAAAUGUCAUGAUGCAUGCUAGCAGAAAUCUGAAAAUACACUCAGCUCAGUUCCUAUAUUUUAUUUCAGUUCAAUUUAGAACUAUUUGCAACUGUUCAGACUCGAGUGUUCCUAUAUUUUAUUUCAGUUCGAUUUAGAAGUAUUUACAACUGUUCACA